RNAcentral lists this long non-coding RNA (296 nucleotides) under Elaeis guineensis (African oil palm). RNAcentral's name for it is "long non-coding RNA (EGUI_LNC052911)". The record is from RNAcentral. Lineage: Eukaryota; Viridiplantae; Streptophyta; Magnoliopsida; Arecales; Arecaceae.
AUUCAUAAUGGUUAACCAUGUGGGAUCUGCAUAUUUCGACAUUAUGUAAUCAUGGGAUGAGCGAUUAUACCAUGUUCUGGUCUUCUGUGUUGGUAGCUUGUAAGUCAACUACACGUCGGUAAUAGUAGUAAGUUGGUAGUCGUAGAGUUUUAAAUGAGCAUCGAUCGGUAACUCUAAUAUAUCGACGGUCUUCGAUUAAAGAUUAUCUAAAUUAUCUGUUGAUGGUUGAUAAUAGCCGACUAUCGGUCGGUCAACUAAUUGUGAGUCAGAAUAUUACUUUCAUAAGGCCGAUGUAG